GUGUCCUACGGGGGGCAGCAGUCGAGAAUCAUUCACAAUGGGGGAAACCCUGACGCAGCGACGCCGCGUGAGGGAUGAAGGUUUUCGGAUCGUAAACCUCUGUCAGGAGGGAAGAAAGCGCAUGGCGCCAAUCAGCCAUGCGUUGACGGUACCUCCAAAGGAAGCGCCGGCUAACUCCGUGCCAGCAGCCGCGGUAAUACGGAGGGCGCGAGCGUUAAUCGGAAUUACUGGGCGUAAAGCGCGCGUAGGCUGUUGUGUAAGUUGGGGGUGAAAUCCCACGGCUCAACCGUGGAACAGCCCUUGAU
This 305-nucleotide ribosomal RNA is filed under the name uncultured bacterium. RNAcentral describes it as "bacterial SSU rRNA". It matches the Rfam family "Bacterial small subunit ribosomal RNA", at positions 334 to 631 of the family's 1533-position model. The record is from RNAcentral.